Molecule: non-coding RNA, 3115 nt
Organism: Nicotiana tabacum (common tobacco)
Lineage: Eukaryota; Viridiplantae; Streptophyta; Magnoliopsida; Solanales; Solanaceae
Source: RefSeq, a predicted model, not a curated record
CCAAAACUCAGUUGCCUCUGUAGCUUACGUGUUACUGGUGAAUUUCAUACCCACCCCACCCACUCAAAAUAUUCCACUACUCCAUUACCAGAACCUCCAGCCAAGAAACAAAACCUCACACAUUUCUUGUUUUAGUGCAUCUGCACGUAUAUAUUUGGGUUCUUGUCAUAUAAAGUUGAAAAUUUUCUAUUCCAUAAUUUUGUUUUAGGUAUGUGAUAAUGCCCUUUCUUACAGGGAUUAGUGUCAUUAUUUAAGGUGAACCAAAAGGUGUGCUCCUAUAUUUUUGUCAUCAUUUUUCUAUUUAACAAAAAACAGCUUAGCUCCAAUUUCCACCAACCUUUUUUUUUCAUCUUUGUUUUUUCCUCAUGGUGUUUUGUGUCUGUCCCUUAAAUGUUCUUUCCUGUGGGUCGCUCAAUUUCUCAGUCCACUCAUAAGGCCAAAGCUUUAUAAUUCUUGGAUUUUUGUUGCAAUAUCUUCAACUAAAGGCAGUGCUGCUCAACCACUAGCCAUUUCAAGAUUUUGCCAAGUAUGAGCUUUUUUUCAAGUUCUUGAUUAGUCUAGUAAUGGAUAUUGAAAGUUGGGGUCGUGAAAAUCCAAUAAAGAAAGAAUCUUGGAGGACAGUUUUAGCCUUAGCUUAUCAGAGUUUAGGUGUGGUGUAUGGAGAUUUGAGUACUUCACCUUUAUAUGUAUACAAGAGCACAUUUGCAGAGGAUAUUCAUCAUUCAGAGUCUAAUGAGGAGAUAUUUGGAGUUUUAUCAUUUGUGUUUUGGACAUUAACUCUUAUUCCAUUGCUUAAAUAUGUGUUCAUAGUAUUACGAGCUGAUGAUAAUGGUGAAGGUGGGACUUUUGCUUUGUAUUCCUUAUUGUGCCGUCAUGCCCGUGUUAGUACUUUGCCUAAUGGUCAAUUGGCUGAUGAGGAUUUAUAUGAGUACAAGAAUGAUAGAAAAUUGUCAGCUGAUAGGAUUGGAAUGAGCUUGAAAUCAACUCUUGAGAAACACAGAUUUUUGAAGAAAAUUUUGCUCAUUUUAGCUUUGAUUGGGACUUGUAUGGUUAUUGGUGAUGGAGUCCUUACCCCUGCAAUCUCAGUAUUCUCUGCUGUCUCUGGACUUGAACUUUCAAUGGCAAAGCAUCAUCACCAAUAUGUAGAAGUUCCAGUUGCUUGUGUGAUACUUGUGUUCUUAUUUUUUCUCCAGCACUAUGGGACACAUCGAAUAGGAUUUCUAUUUGCACCUAUUGUGAUUACAUGGCUUUUUUGCAUUAGUGCAAUUGGGCUGUACAACAUCUUCCACUGGAACCCUCAUGUUUAUCAAGCAUUAUCUCCAUACUACAUGUACAAAUUCUUAAAGAAGACCCAAAGAGGAGGAUGGAUGUCCCUGGGUGGGAUUUUAUUAUGUAUAACAGGUUCAGAAGCUAUGUUUGCUGAUCUUGGACACUUUUCCCAGCUGUCUAUUCAGAUAGCUUUUACGUUUGUUGUUUACCCAUCAUUAAUUCUUGCUUAUAUGGGACAAGCUGCGUAUCUUUCCAAGCAUCAUGUUAUCCAAGGUGAUUACCACAUCGGGUUCUAUGUAUCAGUACCUGAAAAACUGCGGUAUCCUGUUCUGGCUAUUGCUAUACUUGCUGCAGUGGUUGGAAGCCAGGCCAUCAUCACUGGGACGUUUUCUAUAAUCAAGCAAUGUUCUGCUUUGGGUUGCUUCCCAAGGGUCAAAAUAGUACAUACAUCGUCCAAAAUCCAUGGCCAGAUUUACAUUCCAGAGAUAAACUGGACGUUGAUGUUGCUAUGCUUGGCAGUUACUAUUGGCUUCCGUGACACGAAACACAUAAGCAACGCAUCAGGUCUGGCAGUUAUAACUGUUAUGCUGGUCACUACGUGCUUUAUGUCUCUAGUCAUUGUCCUCUGCUGGCACAAAAACGUGUUACUUGCCAUUUGCUUUAUAUUCUUCUUUGGUUCCAUUGAAGCCCUCUACUUUUCAGCUUCCCUAAUCAAGUUCCUCGAAGGGGCCUGGGUACCGAUUGUUCUCUCUUUGAUAUUUCUAGUCGUCAUGUACAGUUGGCAUUAUGGCACCCUGNAGUUGGCAUUACGGCACCCUGAAAAAGUACGAGUUUGAUGUUGAAAACAAAAUUCCCAUCAACUGGCUGCUCACCUUGAGUCCCAACCUGGGUAUUACACGGGUCCGUGGCAUUGGCCUCAUCCACACCGAGCUUGUUUCAGGAAUUCCAGCAAUUUUCUCACAUUUCGUCACCAACCUACCUGCUUUCCACCAGGUUCUUGUUUUCCUUUGUGUCAAGUCCGUACCAGUACCUCACGUGAGACCUGAAGAAAGGUUCUUGGUGGGAAGAAUUGGACCAAAAGAGUACCGCGUCUACAGAUGUAUAGCACGAUAUGGUUAUCGAGAUAUUCACAUGGACGACGUAGAGUUUGAAAAAGAUCUAGUUUGUAGCAUAGCUGAAUUCAUCCGCUCAGAGGGACCAGCACAGAGUUUUGAAGCUGCUGAAGGUAUAGACGACAACGAGAAACUGACAGUUAUUGGAACAACUUCAACACAUGUUGAUGGAGUAACAAUGUGCGAGGACAUAGACACUAAAGAUACAGAAAUGAUUGAGAUCAGUUCCCCAGAAGUACCAAGAAAGAGAGUGAGAUUUCUGGUGCCAGAGAGUCCACAAAUGGAUUUAAGCGUUCGUGCAGAGUUGCAAGAACUGAUGGAAGCGCGGGAAGCAGGCAUGGCGUUUAUCCUUGGACAUUGUUAUGUAAGAGCAAAGAGAGGUUCAAGUUUGAUAAAAAAACUGGUGGUUGACAUAGGAUAUGACUUUUUGAGAAGGAAUUGUCGCGGGCCAACAUAUGCAUUGAGCUUCCCUCGUGCUUCAACUUUGGAGGUUGGAAUGAUUUACCAUGUAUAAUUUGUUCUUUCCUUUUCUAUUUAAAGGAUAGAACUGUAGCAUAUGCUUUUUUUUCUUCAUUCUUACUUUUGUAUUUCAAAUGUGAAAACUGUAAAUGUUGUGCUGGUACAUGAAUUUUGCUUUGUACAAUGCAAUACCACGAAAAAGUAUACUGAAUACUGAGCUUAGAGCUGCAUGUAUUGAAUAAAGAGCUGAAAAUAUGAGGUUAACAAUUUGUCUA